Molecule: ribosomal RNA, 527 nt
Filed under: uncultured bacterium
Lineage: Bacteria
Description: bacterial SSU rRNA
Rfam family: Bacterial small subunit ribosomal RNA
Source: RNAcentral
AGAGUUUGAUCCUGGCUCAGGAUGAACGCUAGCGAUAGGCCUAACACAUGCAAGUCGAGGGGCAGCACAUGAAGUAGCAAUACGGAUGGUGGCGACCGGCGCACGGGUGAGUAACGCGUAUGCAAUCUACCUACAACAAGGGAAUAACUCGUUGAAAGACGGACUAAUACCCUAUAAAACAGGGGUCCCGCAUGGGAAUAUUUGUUAAAGAAAUUCGCUGAUAGAUGGGCAUGCGUUCCAUUAGGUAGUUGGUGAGGUAACGGCUCACCAAGCCGACGAUGGAUAGGGGAACUGAGAGGUUGGUCCCCCACACUGGUACUGAGACACGGACCAGACUCCUACGGGAGGCAGCAGUGAGGAAUAUUGGUCAAUGGGCGAGAGCCUGAACCAGCCAAGUCGCGUGAAGGAAGAAGGAUCUAUGGUUCGUAAACUUCUUUUGCAGGGGAAUAAAGUGCAGGACGUGUCCUGUUUUGUAUGUACCCUGAGAAUAAGGAUCGGCUAACUCCGUGCCAGCAGCCGCGGUAAUA